UACGAAGGGAGCUAGCGUUGUUCGGAAUCACUGGGCGUAAAGCGCGCGCAGGCGGUUGCGAGAGCCCGGCGUGAAAGCCCCCAGCUCAACUGGGGGAGGCCGUCGGAGACCUCGUGACUUGAGGCGAUGAGAGGGGUGCAGAAUUCCCGGUGUAGUGGUGGAAUGCGUAGAUAUCGGGGGGAAUACCAGUGGCGAAAGCGGCACCCUGGCGUCGUACUGACGCUCAUGUGCGAAAGCGUGGGGAGCGAACGGG
This 253-nucleotide ribosomal RNA is filed under the name uncultured bacterium. RNAcentral describes it as "partial 16S ribosomal RNA". It matches the Rfam family "Bacterial small subunit ribosomal RNA", at positions 524 to 776 of the family's 1533-position model. The record is from RNAcentral.